Molecule: unclassified non-coding RNA, 283 nt
Filed under: air metagenome
Description: partial contains small subunit ribosomal RNA, internal transcribed spacer 1, and 5.8S ribosomal RNA
Rfam family: Eukaryotic small subunit ribosomal RNA (bases 1-46)
Source: RNAcentral
AAGUCGUAACAAGGUUUCCGUAGGUGAACCUGCGGAAGGAUCAUUACAGUUUUAUUGGUUUACUAGCCAGCGCUUAAUUGCGCGGCCGGUGUAACUAAAACCUUACACACAGUGUUUAAAUUUUUUUAAAGAAUUUGCUUUGGUUUGGCCUUCGGGUUGGGCCAGAGGUUUUACACAAACUUCAAUUUUUUAUUGAAUUUUUUUUAAUAAUUUGUCAUGUUUUGUUUUGAUUAAUUUCAAAAAUCAAUCUUCAAAACUUUCAACAACGGAUCUCUUGGUUCUC